Molecule: unclassified non-coding RNA, 270 nt
Filed under: uncultured fungus
Lineage: Eukaryota; Fungi
Description: partial contains small subunit ribosomal RNA, internal transcribed spacer 1, and 5.8S ribosomal RNA
Rfam family: Eukaryotic small subunit ribosomal RNA (bases 1-73)
Source: RNAcentral
GCAAACUUGGUCAUUUAGAGGAAGUAAAAGUCGUAACAAGGUCUCCGUAGGUGAACCUGCGGAGGGAUCAUUACCGAGUGAGGGCCUUCUGGUCCGACCUCCAACCCCAUGUUAUCCGACACUGUUGCCUCCGGGGCGACCCGGCCUUCGGGCGUCGGGGCCCCGGGUGGACCAUUCAAACACUGCAUCUUUGCGUCUGAGUACACGAUUGAAUCAAUCAAAACUUUCAACAACGGAUCUCUUGGUUCUGGCAUCGAUGAAGAACGCAGC